RNAcentral lists this ribosomal RNA (324 nucleotides) under Triticum aestivum (bread wheat). RNAcentral describes it as "partial small subunit ribosomal RNA". Lineage: Eukaryota; Viridiplantae; Streptophyta; Magnoliopsida; Poales; Poaceae. The record is from RNAcentral.
GUUGUGGUUCAAAGUAGACAACAUCUGGUAUUUCCAUUGGUUUAUCGGCUCAUCAGACUUGCAUUGACAUUACCGGUGGCAACUGCAUCAGUUGAGAGGGUUUUCUCAGCCAUGAAUAUUAUAAAUACUGAUCUUCGAAACAAGAUGGGUGACAAUUGGCUUAAUGAUUUGAUGGUUUGCUUUGUUGAGCGCAAGAUAUUUGCUAAAAUUAGUGAUAAAGAGAUUAUGGUUCAUUUUCAUGCCUUGAAGAGCCGUCGAGGUCAUCUACUAGUUUUAAAUAGUCUUUUCAUCCUUUUGUUGUUGAAUGCUAUGAGUUUUGGUUGA